This 877-nucleotide ribosomal RNA is filed under the name uncultured eukaryote. RNAcentral describes it as "SSU rRNA". It matches the Rfam family "Eukaryotic small subunit ribosomal RNA", at positions 636 to 1469 of the family's 1831-position model. The record is from RNAcentral.
CGGUGUUCAACUGGCGUGUCCGCGGGACGUCCUGCCGGUGGGCUUAGCCCGCAAGGGCGGCCCAACUUCAAAUCCCAUCGCGGUGCUCUUCACUGAGUGUCGAGGUGGGCCGGCACGUUUACUUUGAACAAAUUAGAGUGCUUAAAGCAGGCUAAAACUUCGCCUGAAUACUGUGUGCAUGGAAUGAUGGAAUAGGACCUCGGUUCUAUUUUGUUGGUUUUCGGAACCCCGAGGUAAUGAUUAAUAGGAACGGAUGGGGGCAUUCGUAUUGCGACGUUAGAGGUGAAAUUCUUGGAUCGUCGCAAGACGGACAGAAGCGAAAGCAUUUGCCAAAAACGCUUUCAUUGAUCAAGAACGAAAGUUAGAGGUUCGAAGGCGAUCAGAUACCGCCCUAGUUCUAACCAUAAACGAUGCCAGCUAGCGAUCCGUCGACGUUCCUCCGAUGACUCGACGGGCAGCUUCCGGGAAACCAAAGCUUUUGGGUUCCGGGGGAAGUAUGGUCGCAAAGCUGAAACUUAAAGGAAUUGACGGAAGGGCACCACCAGGAGUGGAGCCUGCGGCUUAAUUUGACUCAACACGGGAAACCUCACCAGGCCCGGACACCGGAAGGAUUGACAGAUUGAGAGCUCUUUCUUGAUUCGGUGGGUGGUGGUGCAUGGCCGUUCUUAGUUGGUGGAGCGAUUUGUCUGGUUAAUUCCGAUAACGAACGAGACUCUAGCCUGCUAACUAGGCGUAUUUUCGACAUCUCAAAGGUCCGUCGUCCCGGCCCUCGGGUCGUGGGCGUGCGCGAUUUUUACUGUCGGCGUACUAUCAAUUCUUCUUAGAGGGACAGGUGGCUUCUAGCCGCACGAGAUUGAGCAAUAACAGGUCUGUGAUG